CUAAGAAUAUUCCGCAAUGGACGAAAGUCUGACGGAGCGACGCCGCGUGGAUGAAGAAGGCCGAAAGGUUGUAAAGUUCUUUUGUUGGGGAAGAAUAACCAUGGGAGGGAAUGCCCGUGGGAUGACAUGAACCGACGAAUAAGCCCCGGCUAACUACGUGCCAGCAGCCGCGGUAACACGUAGGGGGCGAGCGUUGUUCGGAAUUACUGGGCGUAAAGGGCAUGUAGGCGGUCUUGUAAGCUUGGCGUGAAAGACCACGGCUCAACCGUGGGAUUGCGUUGAGAACUGCGAGGCUUGAGUGACGGAGAGGGAGCUAGAAUUCCUGGUGUAGGGGUGGAAUCUGUAGAGAUCAGGAAGAAUACCAAUGGCGAAGGCAAGCUCCUGGCCGAUGACUGACGCUGAGGUGCGAAAGUGUGGGG
Molecule: ribosomal RNA, 419 nt
Filed under: uncultured bacterium
Lineage: Bacteria
Description: bacterial SSU rRNA
Rfam family: Bacterial small subunit ribosomal RNA
Source: RNAcentral